This 201-nucleotide long non-coding RNA is filed under the name Homo sapiens (human). Its description in RNAcentral is "HSALNT0233415". Lineage: Eukaryota; Metazoa; Chordata; Mammalia; Primates; Hominidae. The record is from RNAcentral.
AGAUCACCUUCCACACUACCCAAAGCAAAAAGACGAAGUAUCACAGCAGCUAUAUCCACAGGAAAACAUCCACAGCAAUUGGGCGUCCUUGGUUCUGAAGAGUAGCUGCUCCAAUGUCAAAAUGAAAAUUACAACCUCCAAAUUAAUAGAGUGCCGCUCCAAGGCCUGGAGAGUGGGAUCCAGAUGCACCUUCUAUCGGGA